AAGUAACUGAAGAAUCACAAAAGAAGUGAAAAGGCCCUGCCCCGCCUUAACUGAUGACAUUCCACCAUUGUGAUUUGUUCCUGCCCCACCUUAACUGAGUGAUUAACCCUGUGAAUUUCCUUCUCCUGGCUCAGAAGCUCCCCCACUGAGCACCUUGUGACCCCCGCCCCUGCCCACCAGAGAACAACCCCCUUUGACUGUAAUUUUCCAUUACCUUCCCAAAUCCUAUAAAACGGCCCCACCCCUAUCUCCCUUCGCUGACUCUCUUUUUGGACCCAGCCCGCCUGCACCCAGGUGAAAUAAACAGCCAUGUUGCUCCCACAAAGCCUGUUUGGUGGUCUCUUCACACAGACACGCAUGAAAUUUGGUGCUAUGACUCGGAUCAGGGGACCUCCCUUGAGAGAUCAAUCCCCUGUCCUCUUGUUCUUUGCUCCAUGAGAAAGAUACACCUAUGACCUCAGGUCCUCAGACCGACCAGCCCAAGAAACAUCUCACCAAUUUCAAAUCCGGACCCCACUGAAAAUCAGACUGUUCAACUCACCUGGUAGCCACUCCCAGAGCCCCUGGAACUCUGGCCCAAGGCUCUCUGACUCCUUCCCAGAUCUUCUCAGCUUAGCGGCUGAAGACUGACGCUGCCCGAUCGCCUUGGAAGCCCUCUAGACAAUCACAGAUGCCGAGCUUCGGGUAACUCACAGUGGAGGGAACUGACUCAGGGCAAGAAGACAGCUUUGACUCCCGAUGACUUCAUCUCUGACCUGACCAAUCAGCACUCCUGGCUCACUGGCCACCCCACAUCCACCAAGAUGUCCUUAAAAAUUCUGAUUCCGGAAUGCUCGGGAAGACUGAUUUGAGUAAUAAUAAAACUCUGGUCUUCCACACAGCCGGUUCUGCAUGAAUUACUCUUUCCCUAUUGCAUUUCCCCUGUCUUGAUAAAUCGGCUCUAUCUAAGCAGUGGGCAAAGUGAACCCACUAGGCGGUUACACUAUGGGCCAGGGUUUGCUGACUACUUUGUAUGUAUAAGCUUAUUUAUUCUUCAUGAUAACAUAAUUUUUAAAAAGGCAUUGUCACCCUCACUUUACAAAUGAGACAACUAAAGUGCAAAAAGUGUAAGUAAAUUUCAAAGAUCACAGAAUUUGAAUGCGAUGGCCAGGGCUGAGUCCAUGCUCUAGACAAUAGUGUUCAACCUCUUCCCUUGGUGCUACCAGCUGGGGCCUGUACUAGUUUUCUAUCCUCACCCUUGCACCAUGACUUGGAGUCUCUCUGGAAGCUGACAGGAGAAUUUCAGAGAAGGCACGACGCAUCAGUGCCACUGGGAGGAAAGAAGCUUUUGUUUGAUCCUCUAAGCCCCAGUUGGAACCAAUCUUUGCAGUGGUGUUGGCAGCCUCAGGACUCUCUGGGGACUUUCCCAUUCUGGAAACUGAAGAUCUGCUUAAGCGCUGCACAGGUGACAGUUACCGGAUCCUCAGCUAGCUCUUUGCUGUGGUGGCCAAGAAAAUGCUCAUUAAGUUUGGAGUUCUGUUUCCUUAGUUCCUUGUCCUGACAGCCUAAAUGAUUUCAGAUUUUUCCAGUAGUGUGCUCUUCUCCCACCUACAAAACAAAAUGUACAUGUGCUUCCUAGGUUAAGGGAUGGUUUUAUUUAGGUCCAGCUGGAUGGUGGGAACUGAGAAAUACUGCAUUCGAGGACUGGGGCAAGUUCUGAAGCUCCUAAGCAGUGGGUGCCCAUGGAGAAUACAUUUCAGGUCCAUUAUUCAUGACUUAAGUUGAUGUUCUCAAGCAUUAGGCCAAAGACCUGAAAAAUACAAUAAUCCCCGAGAAAUGUACUGCCCAGAAUGUCAUAUUAUCCCACAAGGAGGAAUGCCUAACCAAGACUAGGAAAAGGACAAGGCCAAACCCCUUGCUGGGAUGUACAAAGUGUAAUUGCAAAUUGUCAGUAAUGAAGAAUGCCACAUGGUCAGUUGUGUUUACUGGAACUUGUCUAGUGAUAUCACUGACAGUCAGCAAGGGAGGUCAGGUUCCUGCUGCCUCACGGCCUCCCAUAAAAGACAGGAGUAAACUUGAGUAUAAUGAGUCUCCCUUUUCCUGUUCCUCUCUCCUUCCGUGUAUACCUGCUGCUUUCUUUUGAACUAGAAAUC
This is a long non-coding RNA of Gorilla gorilla gorilla (western lowland gorilla), 2132 nucleotides long. RefSeq lists it as uncharacterized. Lineage: Eukaryota; Metazoa; Chordata; Mammalia; Primates; Hominidae. The record is from RefSeq and is a predicted model, not a curated record. The transcript is spliced from 3 exons.